AUUGAACGCUGGCGGCAUGCUUUACACAUGCAAGUCGAACGGUAACAGGCCUUCGGGUGCUGACGAGUGGCGCACGGGUGAGUAAUGCAUCGGAACGUGCCCAGAGGUGGGGGAUAACGCAGCGAAAGCUGUGCUAAUACCGCAUGUGAUCUGAGGAUGAAAGCGGGGGACCAGGCAGCAAUGUUUGGCCUCGCGCCUUUGGAGCGGCCGAUGUCAGAUUAGGUAGUUGGUGGGGUAAAGGCCUACCAAGCCGACGAUCUGUAGCUGGUCUGAGAGGACGACCAGCCACACUGGGACUGAGACACGGCCCAGACUCCUACGGGAGGCAGCAGUGGGGAAUUUUGGACAAUGGGCGCAAGCCUGAUCCAGCAAUGCCGCGUGCGGGAAGAAGGCCCUCGGGUUGUAAACCGCUUUUGUACGGAACGAAAAGGCUCUGGCUAAUACCUGGGGCUGAUGACGGUACCGUAAGAAUAAGCACCGGCUAACUACGUG
This 492-nucleotide ribosomal RNA is filed under the name uncultured bacterium. RNAcentral's name for it is "partial 16S ribosomal RNA". It matches the Rfam family "Bacterial small subunit ribosomal RNA", at positions 30 to 507 of the family's 1533-position model. The record is from RNAcentral.